GGGGUGUGGCUCAGUCUGGUCUAGAGCGCCUGUUUGUCGAACAGGACAUCGCAGGGUUCAAAUCCCGCCACCCUCU
Molecule: transfer RNA, 76 nt
Filed under: Leptolyngbyaceae cyanobacterium LF-bin-113
Lineage: Bacteria; Bacillati; Cyanobacteriota; Cyanophyceae; Leptolyngbyales; Leptolyngbyaceae
Description: tRNA-Asp
Rfam family: tRNA
About the family: Transfer RNA (tRNA) molecules are approximately 80 nucleotides in length. Their secondary structure includes four short double-helical elements and three loops (D, anti-codon, and T loops).
Source: RNAcentral